This 71-nucleotide transfer RNA is filed under the name Bos taurus (domestic cattle). It matches the Rfam family "tRNA". From Rfam's summary of the family: Transfer RNA (tRNA) molecules are approximately 80 nucleotides in length. Their secondary structure includes four short double-helical elements and three loops (D, anti-codon, and T loops). The record is from Rfam by way of RNAcentral. Lineage: Eukaryota; Metazoa; Chordata; Mammalia; Artiodactyla; Bovidae. RNAcentral also lists the same sequence under 3 other names.
UCCCUGGUGGCCUAGAUGGUAAAGCAUCUGCCUACAAUGCGGGAGACUCGGGUUUGAUUCCCGGUUGGGAG